CUUCUUAUAAGCUGCAGCUUCCCUUAAAAGGACCAAAUUGUGCUUCAAGAAAAGCAGAAAGCCCCUUUUAAAUAAAUAUCCAGAACUUUUAAUAUCUUUUGGCAUAUACCCUUUGAGAAAGUGUAUCUAAUGAUAUAGGCUAGUUCACAUUAAAGGGUAUACUGAUUAUAUUUAAGACUUCUUCAUGACUUGAAUAGGAAAUCUGUUACCAACCCUUUUUAAAUAAACUAAGAUUAAAUACUUAAUUAAAAUACAUCUAUUCUGCCUUUCAGUUGAGCAUCCUCAUGUUUGCGCACAUGCAAAGUGCCAGACUAGAUCAAACUACGAUUGAAACAUUUUCUCAAACAGUUAGCAUGCAGUUUUUAUAAAUUAUAUGAUAUGUAAUAUUACAAAUCUGAGGCCGUUUGGUCUAGACUUGGUGAUGAAUUACGCACAUAGUACAAGAAUUUAGUGCAUAGAUGAUGCCUCUCCUGAUAUUAAUAAUGAACUCGUCGUUCUCAACAAAUAAAAUGACGGCACGUUCAUGGCAAAGCCUGUUGUUUCGGGCCUUAGAAAAGUGGAUUUGUUCGACUCAAAAGCGUAUUUUUUUAUAAUAAUUUGUCUAUAAUAGUCUUAGUAUUAGAU
RNAcentral lists this long non-coding RNA (624 nucleotides) under Panax ginseng (ginseng). RNAcentral describes it as "long non-coding RNA (PGIN_LNC018874)". The record is from RNAcentral. Lineage: Eukaryota; Viridiplantae; Streptophyta; Magnoliopsida; Apiales; Araliaceae.